AGUUUGAUCCUGGCUCAGAACGAACGCUGGCGGCAGGCCUAACACAUGCAAGUCGAGCGCUACCUUCGGGUGGAGCGGCGGACGGGUUAGUAACGCGUGGGAAUAUACCCUUCUCUACGGAAUAGCCUCGGGAAACUGAGAGUAAUACCGUAUACGCCCUUCGGGGGAAAGAUUUAUCGGAGAUGGAUUAGCCCGCGUAAGAUUAGAUAGUUGGUGGGGUAAUGGCCUACCAAGUCUACGAUCUUUAGCUGGUUUUAGAGGAUGAUCAGCAACACUGGGACUGAGACACGGCCCAGACUCCUACGGGAGGCAGCAGUGGGGAAUCUUAGACAAUGGGCGAAAGCCUGAUCUAGCCAUGCCGCGUGAGUGAUGAAGGCCUUAGGGUCGUAAAGCUCUUUCGCCAGGGAUGAUAAUGACAGUACCUGGUAAAGAAGCCCCGGCUAACUCCGUGCCAGCAGCCGCGGUAAU
This 468-nucleotide ribosomal RNA is filed under the name uncultured bacterium. RNAcentral's name for it is "bacterial SSU rRNA". It matches the Rfam family "Bacterial small subunit ribosomal RNA", at positions 10 to 524 of the family's 1533-position model. The record is from RNAcentral.